GCCGAAGUGGUGGAACUGGCAGACGCGCUGGACUCAAAAUCCAGUGGUAGCAAUACCGUGCGGGUUCGACCCCCGCCUUCGGCACCA
Molecule: transfer RNA, 87 nt
Filed under: Moorella sp. Hama-1
Lineage: Bacteria; Bacillati; Bacillota; Clostridia; Neomoorellales; Neomoorellaceae
Also listed under: 1 other name
Description: tRNA-Leu
Rfam family: tRNA
About the family: Transfer RNA (tRNA) molecules are approximately 80 nucleotides in length. Their secondary structure includes four short double-helical elements and three loops (D, anti-codon, and T loops). Further hydrogen bonds mediate the characteristic L-shaped molecular structure. tRNAs have two regions of fundamental functional importance: the anti-codon, which is responsible for specific mRNA codon recognition, and the 3' end, to which the tRNAs corresponding amino acid is attached (by aminoacyl-tRNA synthetases). tRNAs cope with the degeneracy of the genetic code in two manners: having more than one tRNA (with a specific anti-codon) for a particular amino acid; and 'wobble' base-pairing, i.e. permitting non-standard base-pairing at the 3rd anti-codon position.
Source: RNAcentral